Molecule: ribosomal RNA, 292 nt
Filed under: uncultured Desulfobulbus sp.
Lineage: Bacteria; Pseudomonadati; Thermodesulfobacteriota; Desulfobulbia; Desulfobulbales; Desulfobulbaceae
Description: partial 16S ribosomal RNA
Rfam family: Bacterial small subunit ribosomal RNA
Source: RNAcentral
AACGAGCGCAACCCUUGCCUUUAGUUGCCAGCAGUUCGGCUGGGCACUCUAAAGGGACUGCCGGUGUUAAACCGGAGGAAGGUGGGGAGUGACGUCAAGUCCUCAUGGCCUUUAUGACCAGGGCUACACACGUACCACAAUGGCCGAUACAAAGGGCAGCGACACUGCGAGGUGAAGCCAAUCCCGUAAAAUCGGUCUCAGUCCGGAUUGGAGUCUGCAACUCGACUCCAUGAAGUUGGAAUCGCUAGUAAUCGUGGAUCAGCAUGCCACGGUGAAUACGUUCCCGGGCCUU